CAUGGCACACAGUACACAGUUCUUAA
This 26-nucleotide unclassified non-coding RNA is filed under the name Mus musculus (house mouse). RNAcentral's name for it is "oocyte_clustered_small_RNA5375". The record is from RNAcentral. Lineage: Eukaryota; Metazoa; Chordata; Mammalia; Rodentia; Muridae.